This 300-nucleotide long non-coding RNA is filed under the name Bos indicus x Bos taurus (hybrid cattle). RNAcentral describes it as "lncRNA (ENSBIXG00000005931.1)". Lineage: Eukaryota; Metazoa; Chordata; Mammalia; Artiodactyla; Bovidae. The record is from RNAcentral.
CUUGAAUCCUUAUGCUAUGCAUCUCAGAAUCAGCCAUGCUCAGAAGAAAGAGGCAUUUAUACACCACUUCUCUUCUUUUAUUGGUCAGCUGUUGUUCCAUGGACUUCCAAGCUGCAUGUGGAAGACUGAUCGAGGGUGCAUUCUAUAUAGAGAUGGACUCGGGCCUUGGAAGUCCCUGGCACAGAAGAUGGUAAGGUCUGGUUUGGGGCAGCCUGAAACAGAUAUGGGCACUAGAGAAGUCACCCGGAAAACUGCUGUAGUUCUGACUCAAGCUGAAAGAAUAGGAGAACUCUAAAACUU